CCCUUAGAUGUCCGGGGCCGCACGCGCGCUACACUGAAGGAAUCAGCGUGGCUUUCUCCCUGACCCGAAAGGGUUGGGAAACCCGUUGAAUCUCCUUCGUGAUAGGGAUUGGGGCUUGAAAUUGUUCCCCAUGAACGAGGAAUUCCCAGUAAGCGCGAGUCAUAAGCUCGCGUUGAUUACGUCCCUGCCCUUUGUACACACCGCCCGUCGCUACUACCGAUUGAACGGUUUAGUGAGGGCCUCGGAUUGGUCUCGGCCCGCUCUUUACCGGGCGGCGCCGUUGGUCGAGAAGACGCUCGAACUUGAUCGUUUAGAGGAAGUAUAAGUCGUAACA
RNAcentral lists this ribosomal RNA (334 nucleotides) under uncultured eukaryote. RNAcentral's name for it is "partial 18S ribosomal RNA". It matches the Rfam family "Eukaryotic small subunit ribosomal RNA", at positions 1470 to 1796 of the family's 1831-position model. The record is from RNAcentral.